ACCUCUUUGAAAUAAUGGUGUUCCUUUGAUUGGAGUAUUCUAGUUGUAUCCGAUGUUGAAUAUGUGUAUCCUAAUAACAAAACACUAAAAUACGUUAGAAGGAGUGAAAUUAUUUUAAGUGCAACCAAUGUUUGUUUCGUGAACUGAAGACAUACGCUGCAUGAUGAAAACACGUGAUGCUGCAUAAUGAGUGUUUGGAAAUCGAAUUACAUGACCUGUGAAACUUUCCGCUUAAUUGAGUACACAUCACGAUUUGACAGUGAUUACUCUACGACUGCUGAACAUGGAAAUCCAGUGAUAGACAAAUGCAACAACGUAGAGGUUUCCCCCGUGACGACGAUAAUCCGUUCAGCAGUCAAAAAAGCUGGAGUAAUAAUGCAGGAGGAUAAACGACGUGUUUCACGUCAUUUUUUAACUAAUUUAAAUAUCGCUCAACUUCAAAUAAUUGUUAACGACUUACAGAGAUAUAUCGAAUUGUUAAAUGAUGAUCUAGUUCAGUUGCUUAUGAAGCGCGAUGAACUACAGAUGAGUCAAGACGCAUCUUUAAUUGACAUAGAAGAUUUAUCAUUAUACUUUUGAAAGAAAUACAUCAUGAUUGACGUUACAUAAAUUC
Molecule: long non-coding RNA, 613 nt
Organism: Ochlerotatus camptorhynchus
Lineage: Eukaryota; Metazoa; Arthropoda; Insecta; Diptera; Culicidae
Exons: 3
Source: RefSeq, a predicted model, not a curated record